Molecule: ribosomal RNA, 483 nt
Filed under: uncultured bacterium
Lineage: Bacteria
Description: bacterial SSU rRNA
Rfam family: Bacterial small subunit ribosomal RNA
Source: RNAcentral
CAGGACGAACGCUGGCGGCGUGCUUAACACAUGCAAGUCGAACGAGAAUCUGCGGAAAGAGGAUUCGUCCAAUUGAAGCAGAGGACAGUGGCGGACGGGUGAGUAACGCGUGAGGAACCUGCCUUUCAGAGGGGGACAACAGUUGGAAACGACUGCUAAUACCGCAUGACACAUCGGGGUCGCAUGGCUCUGAUGUCAAAGAUUUAUCGCUGAAAGAUGGCCUCGCGUCUGAUUAGCUAGUUGGUGAGGUAACGGCCCACCAAGGCGACGAUCAGUAGCCGGACUGAGAGGUUGAACGGCCACAUUGGGACUGAGAUACGGCCCAGACUCCUACGGGAGGCAGCAGUGGGGAAUAUUGGGCAAUGGGCGCAAGCCUGACCCAGCAACGCCGCGUGAAGGAAGAAGGCUUUCGGGUUGUAAACUUCUUUUGUCAGGGACGAGUAGAAGACGGUACCUGACGAAUAAGCCACGGCUAACUACGUG